Molecule: ribosomal RNA, 490 nt
Filed under: uncultured bacterium
Lineage: Bacteria
Description: partial 16S ribosomal RNA
Rfam family: Bacterial small subunit ribosomal RNA
Source: RNAcentral
AGUGAACGCUGGCGGUAGGCCUAACACAUGCAAGUCGAACGGCAGCACAGUAAGAGCUUGCUCUUACGGGUGGCGAGUGGCGGACGGGUGAGGAAUACAUCGGAAUCUACUUUUUCGUGGGGGAUAACGUAGGGAAACUUACGCUAAUACCGCAUACGACCUACGGGUGAAAGCAGGGGAUCUUCGGACCUUGCGCGAUUGAAUGAGCCGAUGUCGGAUUAGCUAGUUGGCGGGGUAAAGGCCCACCAAGGCGACGAUCCGUAGCUGGUCUGAGAGGAUGAUCAGCCACACUGGAACUGAGACACGGUCUAGACUCCUACGGGAGGCAGCAGUGGGGAAUAUUGGACAAUGGGCGCAAGCCUGAUCCAGCCAUACCGCGUGGGUGAAGAAGGCCUUCGGGUUGUAAAGCCCUUUUGUUGGGAAAGAAAAGCAGCAGGUUAAUACCCCGCUGUUCUGACGGUACCCAAAGAAUAAGCACCGGCUAACUUCG